Molecule: ribosomal RNA, 3116 nt
Filed under: Triticum aestivum (bread wheat)
Lineage: Eukaryota; Viridiplantae; Streptophyta; Magnoliopsida; Poales; Poaceae
Description: partial small subunit ribosomal RNA
Source: RNAcentral
CGACUACGACCGAGUAAACCGUGAUAGAGAUUAACCUCCAUGUUACGUGGAGUUGGAUCACGACUCGUUAGGGUAUACGUUUAACGAUUGUUCCAGUAAGGAAACGUAAACGGAGGGACACUAUGAAGUUGACUCCAGACAUAUAAGUACCAUUACGUCUCGCUUAACUUUAUCGUUUCGUCGAACUCACUCCAAUGGUCACUCCAGUCGAAAGAAAGAGAAAAGUGCGGUGGAGGAUUAACGACGUCGAUAAACAAUAAAUAGUCACAACAAUUUUAGUACAGCCAAAUCAAUAGUAAAAAAUAUACAAUAAUGACAUAAAAAAGAGAGCUAAAUAUAAAGAGAUGAACUGGAAGGAAAAGGUAACGAACGAAAACUCUGAGAAGAAUAAGAACAGUUUACAUGUACAGGUUUUGCAGUAGAGUUGCCCAACAGAACAUUUUGUUCCACCAGUACCUCGUUGUCGUCAUACCGAAACUGUACUAACAUAUGAAAUAUUAGUAUAAACAUUAAAUACGUUAGACAAACAAUAAUCGACGCUACGAGACACAUCAGAGAGACUACUUCUACGAUCUUUAUAAAAGGAACUACCCUGUGGCUACUGAAGGGCUAAUUCUAUCCUGACGUAGUCCCCAGUCGAAACUCGGGAAUAGAAAAACGUAACCACUACCUACUCCAGUGUUCCCCAUAUGUUCCUCUAUAGGGUACCACAUACGAGAAACGCCUACUACACCACGAUCAACUGCUAUCAGCCUGCCCCCAUUUAUCCUUCAAUCUCAAUACCUCUGUUUGGAACCUUAGCUUUCCCAAAUCCGAAUCAUCUUGAUUUUGGCUCAUGUACUACACGCCAAAGUCAUGAUGAUCGACACUCCUCCUCCAAUCGGAACUACCGGUCCACCAUGGAGCCUUCCUGUGGAAAGCCAUAAACCCAGUUACAACGUCCUCCUACCCCCAUAACUACUUCUACACUUGGUAGCUUAGUUUCGGCCUACCUACUUCACCGCGGUUCGAAGACCGUAAGAGACACUGUUCUCUCACGGUGUUUUCGAUUUUCCGUUCAAGAUGUCCUGCCGCCAAGCUGGGCGUUACAACAUACCGCGCCUCACAACCGGCUGAUUUUCCGCUGUACAAGUUGUCAAUCCACACCGCCUCUACGCAUACAACUCUACCUACACACCGGUGUGCUCCUUCCUAGCUCAGGCCUUACUACUAUAUGCUCUAUCUCAACCCCAUCGUGGUUAACUCCUCUUCGAACAGGUUGUAGCAAACUCUACCAAACCCGUAUAAGUCGCGUCCGGAGGUCUUCGAGGUCACGUAUCGCCUGCCGAUUUCGCACGCCUCUUACAGUUCUCUCCCGCCCCAGCUGGCUAAAACUGUACCCUCCUCAGGCAAUUCUCUCUGGACAUCCUAACCUCAUAGCUGUUUCUCGAUCGAUACCUGUCCCCACGCACCUUCGAACGAUAGGUACACGGUCUCGGUACUCAACCAACGCUCUAGAAUACCCAAAGUGGAGAUCGGAUGGGGUUGAACGAACCCUGAUUUCCGAAACAACAACAACAACAACAACAACAACGACGGUGUAAUUUUGAUCCAUGUUUCCUUUAAACGAAUGUCGUCAACCACAGCUAGGGUUACUGACGUAUAAGGGGUAACGUAAACCAGAAACACUUCAUCUUAGCUGUUCAUCAACCCUCACCAAGAACCGAAGUAACUUCCUACUGGACUUGUAAAGGUUGAGUAGUAGAAUGUGUGAUUACUCACUGUUCGUUUUCCCAAACUAACGACGUCACGUCUUUCACAAGGGAGUAAGACUCGUGUCUGUAACACACUCCGUGUAUAUAGUCUUAAAGGUGUUUCAUGUAUUCCCACUUUGUAACUUCUUACUAAAUACCCGUUAUCGUUCUAGAUGUUUGUUUUAACGAAUGGUGUUUUUGUACCUGGUUUAUUUCCUUGUGUCAAAUCUACGAAUGUUCACCCAACUCUUCAACAGAGGUUCUUGUACCUAUUUCCGAAAGAAAUUGGGAAAGACGUUUACACUGUAGGAGGAGUUGUUAUACAGACUCCACAAGUUGUCGAUAUAAGACCUACCUUCUCUAGACGGUUAUUUCAGGUACAAUCUAAUAUAAAAGGUAUUUGAUCGUUUGUCCUAUCAACCGUUUGUUUCCCUUAGACUCUUCACCUGACCGGCCGACACGGGGUUUUAAGUCUUCUUUGAUCUGUUUAUAUAUCUUACCCGUUUCUUGACGUACCAAUGACUCAUACCCUUUCCACAAAAGGUCCAAAACAGAGAUUUAUUAUGUAUACAACACCUAAACUUGUACUUGUCAACACUGACGUUGUCUACCCUUGAGAGUCGGUAGGGUACGGUAGUACGGUAACGUACAAAGUCUGUACUUUCCUAACUCGGUCUCUCGUACCACGUACUGACAAUAUCACAACUCUUGAUGUUCUCAACGAUACCGACCUUGGAAUACGGAUACUCCCUGUACUUCGUAACCCUCUUUUACUUACCGUAUCUACACAUAGGUGGAUAAAUGUGUUUUCAGUACUCUUCCGGUUUCUUUUCAUCCUUCUUUCUCGGUCUUCUCUUUUUCCCAUUCCUACCAGACUUCUUUCAUUGUUUUGUACCACAGUGAUACGUAACAAGAUAUACACCUCGACGACUAGUGUUAUUUUUUCCAGUGGUGUUGGUACACUUACUACUUCGUUUUGGUUCUCCUCGUCUCCUUAGUCUUCUUCUCAUACUACUGGGUUCGUAGUAACGAUUGUAAUACGGUGUAUCUCAUUUAGGGUACGACCUAGGUUGUGUUUCAUUUCUAAGGUACCACAAGUACUACGUCCUUUCCCUCUCCAAAUCCAGUGGUUGUUAAUCUCUAAUACCAGGUGAUGGACUUAGUUCGAAAUAACGAUUACGAUCCCUGAGUUAGGGUCAUUCAUCUCACUGAUGUCGUUACUGUUCACCUUCCCACUCUUCUCGUCUUCCACAACGUCGACUUAGACUUGUUCCUCGACGUGGUUCUGGGUCCUUCUUCGUCCGUUCUCCUCCCAGUUAACGACGUUCCCCUCCCUCUUGUGGACGACGUUCUCCUCCCCGUUUACCACGUUCCCCUCCCACU